AGUGAACGCUGGCGGUAGGCCUAACACAUGCAAGUCGAACGGCAGCACAGUAAGAGCUUGCUCUUACGGGUGGCGAGUGGCGGACGGGUGAGGAAUACAUCGGAAUCUACUUUUUCGUGGGGGAUAACGUAGGGAAACUUACGCUAAUACCGCAUACGACCUACGGGUGAAAGCAGGGGAUCUUCGGACCUUGCGCGAUUGAAUGAGCCGAUGUCGGAUUAGCUAGUUGGCGGGGUAAAGGCCCACCAAGGCGACGAUCCGUAGCUGGUCUGAGAGGAUGAACAGGCCCUGUGGAACUGAGACACGAGCCAGGCUCCUACGGGAGGCAGCAGUUGGGAAUGUUGGAAGAAGGGGGGAAGCCUGAACCAGGCAUGGCGGGUUGGUGAAGAAGGCCUGCGGGUUGUAAAGCCCUUUUGUUGGGAAAGAAAAGCAGCAGGUUAAUACCCCGCUGUUCGGACGGUACCCAAAGAAUAAGCACCGGCUAACUUCGG
Molecule: ribosomal RNA, 491 nt
Filed under: uncultured bacterium
Lineage: Bacteria
Description: partial 16S ribosomal RNA
Rfam family: Bacterial small subunit ribosomal RNA
Source: RNAcentral